CGCCUCUCGGGGUUGCACCUGGAGAGUUUCCAGUCCUUUACCAGUCACGGCUACGGGAGGGAGAGUCAGACAGAGGCCUGUCCGUUCCAUUCCUAGCUCGGGCAGUGGCUAGCGAGUGGAACGCAAUCUGUUACAACU
Ornithorhynchus anatinus (platypus) is the source of this 138-nucleotide small nucleolar RNA. The record is from RefSeq and is a predicted model, not a curated record. Lineage: Eukaryota; Metazoa; Chordata; Mammalia; Monotremata; Ornithorhynchidae.